AGUGAACGCUGGCGGUAGGCCUAACACAUGCAAGUCGAACGGCAGCACAGGAGAGCUUGCUCUCUGGGUGGCGAGUGGCGGACGGGUGAGGAAUACAUCGGAAUCUACUUUUUCGUGGGGGAUAACGUAGGGAAACUUACGCUAAUACCGCAUACGACCUACGGGUGAAAGCAGGGGACCUUCGGGCCUUGCCAGAUUGAAUGAGCCGAUGUCGGAUUAGCUAGUUGGCGGGGUAAAGGCCCACCAAGGCGACGAUCCGUAGCUGGUCUGAGAGGAUGAUCAGCCACACUGGAACUGAGACACGGUCCAGACUCCUACGGGAGGCAGCAGUGGGGAAUAUUGGACAAUGGGCGCAAGCCUGAUCCAGCCAUACCGCGUGGGUGAAGAAGGCCUUCGGGUUGUAAAGCCCUUUUGUUGGGAAAGAAAUCCAGCUGGCUAAUACCCGGUUGGGAUGACGGUACCCAAAGAAUAAGCACCGGCUGACUUCGUGCCAGCCGCCGCCGUAA
This 506-nucleotide ribosomal RNA is filed under the name uncultured bacterium. RNAcentral describes it as "partial 16S ribosomal RNA". It matches the Rfam family "Bacterial small subunit ribosomal RNA", at positions 29 to 523 of the family's 1533-position model. The record is from RNAcentral.